Molecule: non-coding RNA, 74 nt
Organism: Candidatus Amoebophilus sp. 36-38
Lineage: Bacteria; Pseudomonadati; Bacteroidota; Cytophagia; Cytophagales; Amoebophilaceae
Source: Rfam
UCCUCCUUAGCUCAGUUGGUUAGAGCAUCUGACUGUUAAUCAGAGGGUCGCUGGUUCAAGUCCAGCAGGAGGAG